Molecule: long non-coding RNA, 444 nt
Organism: Melospiza melodia melodia
Lineage: Eukaryota; Metazoa; Chordata; Aves; Passeriformes; Passerellidae
Exons: 3
Source: RefSeq, a predicted model, not a curated record
GCACAGCGUUGACUCAUCCCUGCCUGCCAGGAGGCUGCAGGAGGCUCCCCUGCCCUUUGUCUUCCCUGCCUUUUGCUCCUGCUGCUCAAAUCCAACCGGGGCUGAGUGGGAUCUCACAGCAGCACACGCAGGGGGACAUUCCUGCUGUAAUUCCUGCUGAAUACAGCGGCGCAGGUGCUCCUCGGAAGCAGCCGGAUCAACAUAUGGAGGAGAGGACAACCUCUAAAGUACAAAAGAAAAUGAGCGAGACGUCAGAAGCAUCAGCUGUGAGAAGAAGCUGGUGGGGUGAUGGUGGAGGGCAGGGAAGCGGGGAGAGAGGAGAAACAUUUGGAAAAUGAACGGCUGGAAUAAUUAAUUCCACAGAAAACCCAAGGAAACACCACCCAUGUAAUGCAAAAAACAGCAUCUCUGUUUCUCUAUAAAAAUAUGUGCAUUAUGAAGAGA